This is a long non-coding RNA of Asparagus officinalis (garden asparagus), 327 nucleotides long. RefSeq lists it as uncharacterized. NCBI's taxonomy places the organism in Eukaryota, Viridiplantae, Streptophyta, Magnoliopsida, Asparagales, Asparagaceae. The transcript has 2 exons. The record is from RefSeq and is a predicted model, not a curated record.
AGCUUCCGGCGGGCUUCUAUUCGUUCUCGGCGGAGGCGGGCGCCGGGUUCUGGCAUUAGGGUCUGAUGCGGGUCUGGAGUUGGUGACUGAACUUUUUUGAGUAUUCUGAGGAUAUCAGCAGUACCUUAUUAAGCUCGGAUACACCACACUUGUGCUUAUUAAUUUUAAGGAAUCAUUAAAAUAAUCCAAAGCUCUGUCUCCUAGAAUGUUUACUUGUUGAAUAAAUGUAACAUGUUAUUCCAAUCCAGAUCAUGAAUGAUGAACGUAUCACAAUAUAAGAACAGUGUAGAAUUAUAUUCACAAUAUAAGAACAGUGUAGUUUUAUUA